GUGUGUGUCUACAUCCUUCUAAGUGGAGAUCCAUGUCUCUCUCCCCACUCCACCUGUCCUGUUCCACCAUUCGCUAGCUGGCCAUCCACUUGGAGUCAGCAGUGCUUCCUGUGGUGAGUGUGCCCUGGAGUUUGCCACUGCUUUGGUCCUGACCACAGCUUUCUCAGGCCACGCAGGGCUAGGUUGUCUAGGUGGCAGUGUUUUGUAUC
Molecule: long non-coding RNA, 209 nt
Filed under: Homo sapiens (human)
Lineage: Eukaryota; Metazoa; Chordata; Mammalia; Primates; Hominidae
Description: non-protein coding lnc-ROPN1L-8:1
Source: RNAcentral